GGUCAAGCGAACAAGUGCAUGUGGUGGAUGCCUUGGCGAUCACAGGCGAUGAAGGACGCGGUAGCCUGCGAAAAGCUCCGGGGAGCUGGCAAACGAGCAUUGAUCCGGAGAUGUCCGAAUGGGGAAACCCACUCCUAAUGGAGUAUCCGCAGCUGAAUCCAUAGGCUGCGUGAAGCGAACGCGGUGAACUGAAACAUCUAAGUAACCGCAGGAAAAGAAAUCAACCGAGAUUCCCAAAGUAGUGGCGAGCGAAAUGGGAUCAGCCUGUACUCUUUAUUCUCAUUGUUAGUCGAACGCUCUGGAAAGUGCGGCCAUAGCAGGUGAUAGCCCUGUAGACGAAAACAGCGGGAAAGAACUGGGUGUACGAGAAGUAGGGCGGGACACGUGAAAUCCUGUCUGAAGAUGGGGGGACCAUCCUCCAAGGCUAAAUACUCGUGAUCGACCGAUAGUGAACCAGUACCGUGAGGGAAAGGCGAAAAGAACCCCGGGAGGGGAGUGAAACAGAUCCUGAAACCGCAUGCAUACAAACAGUCGGAGCCUCUGCGAAGGGGUGACGGCGUACCUUUUGUAUAAUGGGUCAGCGACUUACAUUCAGUGGCGAGCUUAACCGAUUAGGGCAGGCGUAGCGAAAGCGAGUCCGAACAGGGCGUCCAGUCGCUGGGUGUAGACCCGAAACCAGGUGAUCUAUCCAUGGCCAGGUUGAAGGCACGGUAACACGUGCUGGAGGACCGAACCCACUAACGUUGAAAAGUUAGGGGAUGAGCUGUGGAUAGGGGUGAAAGGCUAAACAAACCUGGAAAUAGCUGGUUCUCUCCGAAAACUAUUUAGGUAGUGCCUCGUGUAUCACCUUCGGGGGUAGAGCACUGUCAUGGUUGUGGGGUCCAUUGCGGAUUACUACGCCAUAGCAAACUCCGAAUACCGAAGAGUGCAAUCACGGGAGACAGACAUCGGGUGCUAACGUCCGGUGUCAAGAGGGAAACAACCCAGACCGCCAGCUAAGGUCCCCAAAUAUGGCUAAGUGGGAAACGAAGUGGGAAGGCUAAAACAGUCAGGAGGUUGGCUUAGAAGCAGCCACCCUUUAAAGAAAGCGUAAUAGCUCACUGAUCGAGUCGUCCUGCGCGGAAGAUGUAACGGGGCUAAGCCAUAUACCGAAGCUGCGGAUGCACAGUAAUGUGCAUGGUAGGAGAGCGUUCCGUAAGCCUGCGAAGGUGCACUGGAAAGUGUGCUGGAGGUAUCGGAAGUGCGAAUGCUGACAUGAGUAGCGAUAAAGGGGGUGAAAGGCCCCCUCGCCGUAAGCCCAAGGUUUCCUACGCAACGUUCAUCGGCGUAGGGUGAGUCGGCCCCUAAGGCGAGGCAGAAAUGCGUAGCUGAUGGGAAGCAGAUUAAUAUUUCUGCACCAUUGUGAAAUGCGAUGGGGGGACGGAUCGCGGAAGGUUGUCCGGGUGUUGGAAGUCCCGGUCCUUGCAUUGGAGAAGGCGCUUUGGCAAAUCCGGGCGCGUAAUUCAAGGGUGCGAGGCGAGCCACUUCGGUGGCGAAGCAACUGGAAGGGGUUCCAGGAAAAGCCUCUAAGCUUCAGUUUCACAGUGACCGUACCGCAAACCGACACAGGUGGGCGAGAUGAGUAUUCUAAGGCGCUUGAGAGAACUCGGGAGAAGGAACUCGGCAAAUUGGUACCGUAACUUCGGGAUAAGGUACGCCCUGGUAGCCUGACUGGCCUGCGCCAGAAGGGUGAAGGGGUUGCAAUAAACUGGUGGCUGCGACUGUUUAAUAAAAACACAGCACUCUGCAAACACGAAAGUGGACGUAUAGGGUGUGACGCCUGCCCGGUGCCGGAAGAUUAAAUGAUGGGGUGCAAGCUCCUGAUUGAAGUCCCGGUAAACGGCGGCCGUAACUAUAACGGUCCUAAGGUAGCGAAAUUCCUUGUCGGGUAAGUUCCGACCUGCACGAAUGGCGUAACGAUGGCCACACUGUCUCCUCCCGAGACUCAGCGAAGUUGAAGUGUUUGUGAUGAUGCAAUCUCCCCGCGGCUAGACGGAAAGACCCCAUGAACCUUUACUGUAGCUUUGCAUUGGACUUUGAACCGGUCUGUGUAGGAUAGGUGGGAGGCUAUGAAGCGUGGACGCCAGUCUGCGUGGAGCCGUCCUUGAAAUACCACCCUGAUCUGUUUGAGGUUCUAACCUUGGCCCGUGAUCCGGGUCGGGGACCGUGCAUGGUAGGCAGUUUGACUGGGGCGGUCUCCUCCCAAAGUGUAACGGAGGAGUACGAAGGUACGCUAGGUACGGUCGGAAAUCGUGCUGAUAGUGCAAUGGCAUAAGCGUGCUUGACUGUGAGACUGACAAGUCGAACAGGUGCGAAAGCAGGUCAUAGUGAUCCGGUGGUUCUGUAUGGAAGGGCCAUCGCUCAACGGAUAAAAGGUACUCUGGGGAUAACAGGCUGAUACCGCCCAAGAGUUCAUAUCGACGGCGGUGUUUGGCACCUCGAUGUCGGCUCAUCUCAUCCUGGGGCUGUAGCCGGUCCCAAGGGUAUGGCUGUUCGCCAUUUAAAGAGGUACGUGAGCUGGGUUUAAAACGUCGUGAGACAGUUUGGUCCCUAUCUGCCGUGGGCGCUGGAUAUUUGAAGGGGGCUGCUCCUAGUACGAGAGGACCGGAGUGGACGAACCUCUGGUGUACCGGUUGUCACGCCAGUGGCAUCGCCGGGUAGCUAUGUUCGGAAGAGAUAACCGCUGAAAGCAUCUAAGCGGGAAACUCGCCUUAAGAUGAGAUAUCCCCGGGGCUUCGAGCCCCUUGAAGGGUCGUUCAAGACCAGGACGUUGAUAGGUCAGGUGUGCACGUACAGUAAUGUACUGAGCUAACUGAUACUAAUUGCCCGUAAGGCUUGAUCCU
This 2882-nucleotide ribosomal RNA is filed under the name Paraburkholderia lebeckiae. RNAcentral describes it as "23S ribosomal RNA". It matches the Rfam family "Bacterial large subunit ribosomal RNA". Lineage: Bacteria; Pseudomonadati; Pseudomonadota; Betaproteobacteria; Burkholderiales; Burkholderiaceae. The record is from RNAcentral.